CCAAAGUACAAAAUUGAAAAUUUUUUUGAUAAUUAUUGAUCUAGACAGUCCACAGAAUAUUACUGCAGUGGUUUGGUUCCGAUCGGACAAAAAACCUAGGACUAGUUCGCAAAAGUAGUUUUUUAACAUAUUUGUGAAUAACAAUUGAACGAUUUGAUUGACAGCAAUGGUUCUUGAGGCAAAGUUGUGCAUUAUGAGGAGAUCUAUCAAAUGAUAUGCAUAUUGUGUUGAUAUGUGAAACACCACGUGAUUACAGAGCCAUAAAACUCGUUAGCGCCAACUAGUGGCCGAUUUCUUUCAAAAUUCUUACAGACCUUAAGGUUCAUGAGUCGAACGUACCCAGCGAGUUUCGUUCCGAACAACAUCCGUUAACCCUUUCAAAUAGGUGCUUAAAAUUGUUUGGCCAAUGGCAGCCAUGUUUUUUGAGAUAUGCAAAUGUCCUCAUAGGUACUUGUGCCCCUUCAGACCAAGACACUGCAUACCAAUUUUCAAGUCGAUCGAGCCAACGGUUGCCUAGUUAUAGCCAUUUAUGUGUUUUUUAAAUCUUAUUGCGCCCCCAAGUGGCAGAGAUGCGCAAUUUUUUUUUAUUUGACCAAAGAUUGAGCUCAUACAUAUGUGUACCGAGUUUGGUGAAGAUAUCUCAUUCCGUUCAAGAGUUAUAGUCAAAAUAGCAUUUGGCUAACGUUAGCAUAGACGCUUUUUGGUGUACUGUUUCGCGUAAGAAUUGAAAUUUCAACUUUUUUUUAAUAAUUAUUGAUAUUGAGUGUCCAGGGAAUAUUUCUGAAGUGGUUUGGUUCUGAUUGGUUGAAAAUCCUAGGACUAGUUCGCAAAAGUAGGUUUCGGAUAUAGCUCGAUUUUGCGAGAAAACGGUGUGUCGUAGACCCCAAAAAGGCGCCGUGCACUUUUGUUCGGGCUAACCCAAGGAUUGCUAUGAUGCCAUGUUUUUGAGUUUAUGGCUAAUGGUUUACGAUUCACGGCCAAAAACGUCCAAAAUUUUUGUUUUUUGCGCUAUAGCGCCC
Carassius gibelio (silver crucian carp) is the source of this 1019-nucleotide long non-coding RNA. RefSeq lists it as uncharacterized. The transcript is spliced from 3 exons. The record is from RefSeq and is a predicted model, not a curated record. Lineage: Eukaryota; Metazoa; Chordata; Actinopteri; Cypriniformes; Cyprinidae.